GCAGUCGAGGGGUAUAGUUCUUCGGAACUAGAGACCGGCGCACGGGUGCGUAACGCGUAUGCAAUCUACCUUUUACAGAGGGAUAGCCCAGAGAAAUUUGGAUUAAUACCUCAUAGUAUAUAGCCCUGGCAUCAGGAUUAUAUUAAAGUCACAACGGUAAAAGAUGAGCAUGCGUCCCAUUAGCUAGUUGGUAAGGUAACGGCUUACCAAGGCUACGAUGGGUAGGGGUCCUGAGAGGGAGAUCCCCCACACUGGUACUGAGACACGGACCAGACUCCUACGGGAGGCAGCAGUGAGGAAUAUUGGACAAUGGGCGCAAGCCUGAUCCAGCCAUGCCGCGUGCAGGAUGACGGUCCUAUGGACUGUAAACUGCUUUUAUACGAGAAGAAACACUCCUUCGUGAAGGAGCUUGACGGUAUCGUAAGAAUAAGGAUCGGCUAACUCCGUGCCAGCAGCCGCGGUAAUACGGAGGAUCCAAGCGUUAUCCGGAAUCAUUGGGUUUAAAGGGUCCGUAGGCGGUUUAAUAAGUCAGUGGUGAAAGCCCAUCGCUCAACGGUGGAACGGCCAUUGAUACUGUUAGACUUGAAUUAUUAGGAAGUAACUAGAAUAUGUAGUGUAGCGGUGAAAUGCUUAGAGAUUACAUGGAAUACCAAUUGCGAAGGCAGGUUACUACUAAUUGAUUGACGCUGAUGGACGAAAGCGUGGGUAGCGAACAGGAUUAGAUACCCUGGUAGUCCACGCCGUAAACGAUGGAUACUAGCUGUUGGAAGCAAUUUCAGUGGCUAAGCGAAAGUGAUAAGUAUCCCACCUGGGGAGUACGUUCGCAAGAAUGAAACUCAAAGGAAUUGACGGGGGCCCGCACAAGCGGUGGAGCAUGUGGUUUAAUUCGAUGAUACGCGAGGAACCUUACCA
Molecule: ribosomal RNA, 912 nt
Filed under: uncultured bacterium
Lineage: Bacteria
Description: bacterial SSU rRNA
Rfam family: Bacterial small subunit ribosomal RNA
Source: RNAcentral